AUCCUGGCUCAGGAUGAACGCUGGCGGCGUGCCUAACACAUGCAAGUCGAACGAAGCACUUCUGGUUUGAGAUUCGUCAAGAACCGGAUUUGACUUAGUGGCGACGGGUGAGUAAUGUAUGAGCAACCUGCCUUUCAGAGGGGGACAACAGUUGGAAACGACUGCUAAUACCGCAUAAUGUAUUUUGGGGGCAUCCCUGAGAUACCAAAGGAGCAAUCCGCUGAAAGAUGGGCUCAUAUCUGAUUAGUUAGUUGGCAGGGUAACGGCCUACCAAGACUGCGAUCAGUAGCCGGACUGAGAGGUUGAACGGCCACAUUGGGACUGAGAUACGGCCCAGACUCCUACGGGAGGCAGCAGUGGGGAAUAUUGGGCAAUGGGCGAAAGCCUGACCCAGCAACGCCGCGUGAAGGAAGAAGGUCUUCGGAUUGUAAACUUCUUUUAUGAGGGACGAAGGAUGUGACGGUACCUCAUGAAUAAGCCACGGCUAACUACGUGCC
This 497-nucleotide ribosomal RNA is filed under the name uncultured bacterium. RNAcentral describes it as "bacterial SSU rRNA". It matches the Rfam family "Bacterial small subunit ribosomal RNA", at positions 16 to 509 of the family's 1533-position model. The record is from RNAcentral.